RNAcentral lists this long non-coding RNA (1037 nucleotides) under Apteryx rowi (Okarito brown kiwi). RNAcentral describes it as "lncRNA (ENSARWG00000005430.1)". The record is from RNAcentral. Lineage: Eukaryota; Metazoa; Chordata; Aves; Apterygiformes; Apterygidae.
AUCAAAUCCCCCUUUGUUCAUGUGCUCGGAACCUAAAUUCCCCUUUUCAAGAUAAAAAUAAAAUAUAGUAAAAUGUGGGACACUUGGGAUUUGUUUAUAAUAAAAACCAGCACCCAUUUAAAAUCAAUUUCCAUUUAGUCUUUGCAAGGUGAUGUAUAUCACUAACACAAAUCCACUUGUCUUUAUUUAACCCUUUAUAUGAUUUACUUGCUUCAGAAGUCAUGAAGAAGGGACAGAUGCUCGGGAGAACACCCAAGCCUCCUGAUGGAGGAAGCCACAGCAUGCAGACGAAUCGCAGAUUAUUACAAGUAUCCACAUAGCUGCUGUGUGACCUUUCAAAUCAAAGCAUUCCAGAAUUACCAUGUUGGAAAUGUCUGAGGCUUUGGCAGCUUGCUGUAUUACAAAUAGUUCAUGAAUACAAUUAACCAUCCCUGAGUAGCCUGCAGCAUCAGCAUCCAAUCCUUGCCUUACUCAUCAGAAAUAUAAUUAUUGUUCCAUAGUAAUUCCACCAAACACUUUUUCAGAUAUUGGCCAUAUUCUCAGUCAGUGAAAAUACUGAAAAUGGAGUUUAUCACAUUAUACUAGCUGACAAUAUGGCCACAGAUUUUGGAAUGACUGUACUGAGAUAGUCAUUCCAUCUUUAUUAAUGUUUUAUAUGAAAUCAAAACUGGAAAAAAAACACAAACAAAAAUGUAUUGAAUUCUUAAAGUAAUCACAUUUAAAGUAUCAUUCUUUUCAUCUAAUGCAUCAGCAUUUUCUUAACAUGAGUUUCUGUUGCAGACCCUAGUAAAAGAAAAGAUCUUUUGUAUCUUAAUGGCUUAUUGUCCUGGCAUUUUGACAUUAUGUUUUAGCUGAUCAAAAAAGCUUUUUAUCUGAUCCUGUACUAAAGAACUGCAAAACAAAAAUAAUGCGUGUUUUCAGCCUUUUCACUAAAAAAAUGAAAUACAUGUCUUGAAAGCUGUGGCAGGUAAGUGAAUCUCUAUGCAUGGUUUAUAGGCUGUAAUAAACUGAUGUUUAUUCUAUGUAUUUUUGUAUAU